AGAGUUUGAUCCUGGNUCAGGAUGAACGCUGGCGGUAUGCUUAACACAUGCAAGUCGAACGAAGUGCUUCGGCACUUAGUGGCGGACGGGUGAGUAACGCGUGAGAAUCUGCCAAAAGGACUGGGACAACAGCUGGAAACGGCUGCUAAUACCGGAUAUGCCAGAAAGUGAAAUGGGUAAAACCGCCUUUUGAUGAGCUCGCGUCCGAUUAGCUAGUUGGUGGGGUAAAAGCCUACCAAGGCGACGAUCGGUAACUGGUCUGAGAGGAUGACCAGUCACACUGGGACUGAGACACGGCCCAGACUCCUACGGGAGGCAGCAGUGGGGAAUUUUCCGCAAUGGGCGAAAGCCUGACGGAGCAAUACCGCGUGAGGGAGGAAGGCUCUUGGGUUGUAAACCUCUUUUCUCAGGGAAGAACACAAUGACGGUACCUGAGGAAUCAGCAUCGGCUAACUCCGUGCCAGCAGCCGCGGUAAUACGGAGGAUGCAAGCGUUAUCCGGAAUGAUUGGGCGUAAAGCGUCCGCAGGUGGCUUUGCAAGUCUGCUGUCAAAGCUCAGGGCUUAACCCUGAAUCGGCGGUGGAAACUGAAAGGCUAGAGUGUGGUAGGGGCAGAGGGAAUUCCCAGUGUAGCGGUGAAAUGCGUAGAGAUUGGGAAGAACACCAGUGGCGAAAGCGCUCUGCUAGACCGCAACUGACACUCAUGGACGAAAGCUAGGGGAGCGAAUGGGAUUAGAUACCCCCGUAGUCC
RNAcentral lists this ribosomal RNA (749 nucleotides) under uncultured cyanobacterium. RNAcentral's name for it is "bacterial SSU rRNA". It matches the Rfam family "Bacterial small subunit ribosomal RNA", at positions 8 to 796 of the family's 1533-position model. Lineage: Bacteria; Bacillati; Cyanobacteriota. The record is from RNAcentral.